This 253-nucleotide ribosomal RNA is filed under the name uncultured bacterium. RNAcentral describes it as "partial 16S ribosomal RNA". It matches the Rfam family "Bacterial small subunit ribosomal RNA", at positions 524 to 776 of the family's 1533-position model. The record is from RNAcentral.
UACGAAGGGUGCAAGCGUUACUCGGAAUUACUGGGCGUAAAGCGUGCGCAGGCGGUUUCUUAAGUCAGAUGUGAAAGCCCCGGGCUUAACCUGGGAACUGCGUUUGAAACUGGGAGACUUGAGUGUGGCAGAGGGGGGUGGAAUUCCACGUGUAGCAGUGAAAUGCGUAGAUAUGUGGAGGAACACCGAUGGCGAAGGCAGCCCCCUGGGUUAACACUGACGCUCAUGCACGAAAGCGUGGGGAGCAAACAGG